AUUCCUAGAGAAUUGGGAACCUACUAAAAGCUCUUAUCUAGUAUUAAAAGCACCUGGCAUGAAUGUGCUGAAGGUUUCCUUGAGUACACCGCAAGAAAUAGCAGAUGGGGUUUCAGUAUGGGAGUGGUCUGGUGCUGCGCUAGAUAAUUAAGAUAUGCCUGCAAUUUGCUUCGACAAGGAAUGAAACAAAUAAUAAUGAACUCAGAAACCCAUGAAGCUAAAGCGUUGGAGAAGGUGGAGGAUAAGUAAUGAGAACUCUGAAGCAUUGGCUUUUAUCAUUGAUGAGAGUUCACUCGCUUACACUAUAGAGGCAUAAGCUAUGGAGGAGGUUUCUGAGAAUCUUAAGAAACAAUUGAACAAGUUAGUGCUAGAUGAUGAAAUUAAACAUCUCCUGUAAAAGAUAUUGUAAACAUAGACACAGCAAGGUGCUCUGAUAGGGGAAAUUGAAGCAAAUGAGAAGCAUAGAUAUCAACUCCAACUUGAGGAGGCCAUUAGUAACAAUGGCAACAAAACUUGCGCAUUCUUAGCCAACACAGGCUAUUGGGUUAAUGGCUAAUGCUGAGCUUCAAUUCAAAAUGGCAAUGAGGGAUAAAGUCAUUAACAACCAACGGAAGGCGGUGAGAAACAUAUGAGACUUGCUGAUGAUUAGUUACUCAAUAUAACCGUACAAUCAUGCACCUCUGCGAAGUUUCGAAAAACCAGAGUAAUGUAGGUGAAAGUGCGGGGAUUUUUUGUUAGAUUAAGGAAACAUAUAUACUUGAGCUACAAAGGAGGUAACUCUCUCAGUUUAUUUGUAAGGUAUAUGAUUAAUUAGGCACUGCUCUUUUGAUUCACGUCAACUUGAAAGUGAAUGAAUCCAUAUUGGUAAUAUAAUUAGAUAAUGAAUA
Molecule: long non-coding RNA, 887 nt
Organism: Rosa rugosa (rugosa rose)
Lineage: Eukaryota; Viridiplantae; Streptophyta; Magnoliopsida; Rosales; Rosaceae
Exons: 6
Source: RefSeq, a predicted model, not a curated record